This 279-nucleotide ribosomal RNA is filed under the name Citrobacter amalonaticus. RNAcentral describes it as "partial 23S ribosomal RNA". It matches the Rfam family "Bacterial large subunit ribosomal RNA", at positions 918 to 1195 of the family's 2925-position model. The record is from RNAcentral. Lineage: Bacteria; Pseudomonadati; Pseudomonadota; Gammaproteobacteria; Enterobacterales; Enterobacteriaceae.
GCUAGGGGGUCAUCCCGACUUACCAACCCGAUGCAAACUGCGAAUACCGGAGAAUGUUAUCACGGGAGACACACGGCGGGUGCUAACGUCCGUCGUGAAGAGGGAAACAACCCAGACCGCCAGCUAAGGUCCCAAAGUCAUGGUUAAGUGGGAAACGAUGUGGGAAGGCUCAGACAGCCAGGAUGUUGGCUUAGAAGCAGCCAUCAUUUAAAGAAAGCGUAAUAGCUCACUGGUCGAGUCGGCCUGCGCGGAAGAUGUAACGGGGCUAAACCAUGCACC